UUAGUUGAGUUCACCCUUUUGCUUUCAUUGUUAUCUUCAGGAAAUGAGAACGUAGCAAGGACUAAUUGGGGAACAGAAUGAUGGUCCAGAUAAUAGCAUUAGUAGUCCUCACUAUUCUAUAAAAUAGUGUGAUAAUAAAUGUAAUGAGGACCCCAUUGAGUUUGUAUAUUGUCUAGAUGAUAAUAUUUGUAUUAAAACUCACAACAUAUGUUUAGUCGUAUUUUACACGACUGUUGUAUAAUUAAGUUGUAUUUGAAUUUUGUACCAUGUAUUUGGCGACUCAGAAUAGGUGAUGUAUACCCAUUUUGGGGGCGUCACAGUGAACCAUAGCAUCAGUGUUAAGCCACCAUGUAUUAGAAGGAACAUAAUUAGAAAGUAUUCAUAAGUUACAUAAUUGAAGGACGAUAUACCUUUCUUUUCAAGUCAUUCUUUUAAUUUAAAGCAUUUUUUUUGAAUAUGUCAUUAUUUCUUACAGAAGUGGCAUUUAGGACAUGUCUAAGAGUUGUUACCUGAAUAAUUUGCCUUAUUUGUUUUGGUAGAAAUUGGUUUAUCCUUAUUCUUAAAAUCUUUGCCAUUUUUAUAAGCCUUCUUCUUAUAGGAUCCAGUGGUAGUCAAAUGAGCAACAUUAGGUUUUUCAACCUUAAGCCUUUCUUCAUCUUUAAUUUAAAAGCCAUGUCGUUCAUCAUCAUAAUGUGCUCGCGCACCCCCACUAACCCCAUCAUACCUGCUAAUAAGCAUUUUCAAAAUAAGGGUACUUGCAUUAGUUUUUGAAGAACCCUUAAAUUGUUACUCGACUGAAGUUAAGUACUCUUUAACAUUCUCAAAGUCAAGAAUGACUCCUCGAAUAGCUGUCGUGAUAAAGUUUUUCAUAAUCAUAAGAUACAUGCAGUUGGAUCGCUCCCACUUUCAUAAAUAUCCUUUUGCUCAAUUGAGCUAGUAGUUGUAAGUGAAACAUGAUGAUCCACUCGUAGUGCAUAGUCCAAAACCAUAGUGCCGAGAACAAUUUUCACUUAUACUUUUCGAACAGUAAAAUUAGUUCAAGACUUCAAUUCCAGAGAUACCCAUAAAUACUAGUUGGAGUCAAUGCUUAAAUACAAUCAAGCUCAUAAGCAUACUUACAAAAAACUAAAAGAAAUCAACAAUGUACAACAAUAAUUAAUAUAUAAUCAUAAUGAAAAUCAACUGUAGGGCAAGCAGUUAGUUAGAUAAAAUCUAUUUACAACACCCAAAAAAUAGAUUUUAAUGAGACGUUGGUGCAUAAUUAUCAAUCUUUCGUUGGUCCAAUUAAUAAUAUGCUAAUAACAUUCCCAUAAAAUAAUGCACAACACAUUUAUCCACGCAACACUGUUGGAUAGAAACGAAAUAAACAUGUUACUUAUGCAAUAAAAUUCCAUUUAAUAAAUUCUAAUUCUAAUUUUUCGUUGGGUAAAAUUAAAAUAUUCAUUUAUUAAAUGUAACAUUAUGUGACUUUUCUUAAUCUUUAAUUGUUUCAAUUAAUAACCCUCCGUUGGGUUGAUUAUUAAUUUUAACAAUAAAA
This 1537-nucleotide long non-coding RNA is filed under the name Panax ginseng (ginseng). Its description in RNAcentral is "long non-coding RNA (PGIN_LNC005281)". The record is from RNAcentral. Lineage: Eukaryota; Viridiplantae; Streptophyta; Magnoliopsida; Apiales; Araliaceae.